AACGAUAGCUAAUACCGCAUAAYAAUGUUGGAUGCAUAUUCGACAUUUGAAAGUACCAACUGGUACACUGAGAGAUGGACCCGCGUUGUAUUAGCUAGUUGGUAGUGUAAUGGACUACCAAGGCGAUGAUACAUAGCCGACCUGAGAGGGUGAUCGGCCACAUUGGGACUGAGACACGGCCCAAACUCCUACGGGAGGCAGCAGUAGGGAAUCUUCGGCAAUGGACGAAAGUCUGACCGAGCAACGCCGCGUGAGUGAAGAAGGUUUUCGGAUCGUAAAACUCUGUUGUUAGAGAAGAAYGUUGCAUAGAGUGGAAAAUUAUGCAAGUGACGGUAUCUAACCAGAAAGGGACGGCUAACUACGUGCCAGCAGCCGCGGUAAUACGUAGGUCCCGAGCGUUGUCCGGAUUUAUUGGGCGUAAAGCGAGCGCAGGUGGUUUAAUAAGUCUGAUGUAAAAGGCAGUGGCUCAACCAUUGUGUGCAUUGGAAACUGUUAGACUUGAGUGCAGUAGAGGAGAGUGGAAUUCCAUGUGUAGCGGUGAAAUGCGUAGAUAUAUGGAGGAACACCGGUGGCGAAAGCGGCUCUCUGGACUGUCACUGACACUGAGGCUCGAAAGCGUGGGUAGCAAACAGGAUUAGAUACCCUGGUAGUCCACGCCGUAAACGAUGAGUGCUAGUUGUUUGGGGCUAUCCAGCCCUAAGUGACGCAGCAAACGCAUUAAGCACUCCGCCUGGGGAGUACGACCGCAAGGUUGAAACUCAAAGGAAUUGACGGGGGCCCGCACAAGCGGUGGAGCAUGUGGUUUAAUUCGAAGCAACGCGAAGAACCUUACCAGGUCUUGACAUACUCGUGCUAUUCCUAGAGAUAGGAAGUUCCUUCGGGACACGGGAUACAGGUGGUGCAUGGUUGUCGUCAG
RNAcentral lists this ribosomal RNA (916 nucleotides) under Pseudolactococcus raffinolactis. RNAcentral's name for it is "bacterial SSU rRNA". Lineage: Bacteria; Bacillati; Bacillota; Bacilli; Lactobacillales; Streptococcaceae. The record is from RNAcentral.